Molecule: ribosomal RNA, 522 nt
Filed under: Gymnothorax buroensis
Lineage: Eukaryota; Metazoa; Chordata; Actinopteri; Anguilliformes; Muraenidae
Description: partial 16S rRNA
Rfam family: Bacterial large subunit ribosomal RNA
Source: RNAcentral
AGUGUUUAACGGCCGCGGUAUUUUAACCGCGCGAAGGUAGCGUAAUCACUUGUCUUUUAAAUGGAGACCUGUAUGAAUGGCAUAACGAGGGUUUGACUGUCUCCUCCACCCAGUCAAUGAAAUUGAUCUGCCCGUGCAGAAGCGGGCAUAAGCACAUAAGACGAGAAGACCCUAUGGAGCUUUAGGCAAAUGACCAGGCAAAACAAGUCACGGCCCUUAAUAAGCCUAGAAAAACAAAAGCUAAUGAUCAAAAUGCCUUCGGUUGGGGCGACCAUGGAGGAAACAAAAUCCUCCAAGCGGAAAGGGACAACCCUUGAACCAAGAGAAACACCUCGAAGUAACAGAAUUUAUGACCAACUAUGACCCAGGAUUUAACCUGAUCAACGGACCUAGUUACCCUAGGGAUAACAGCGCAAUCCUCUCCCAGAGUCCCUAUCGACGAGGGGGUUUACGACCUCGAUGUUGGAUCAGGACAUCCUAAUGGUGCAGCCGCUAUUAAGGGUUCGUUUGUUCAACGAUUAA